CCCUAUUAUUAGGAGUAAAAACUAGUUGGUGAGUAAGAGUGAUAAUUGAAAACUAUCCAGAAUGGCGGUUUUUUUUAUUUUCAGGAAAAUGUGUUUUUGAAACGAAAAUACACGAAAAUCUUUCUUACUUUGGAAGCCCAUCUUGUACACCGCCGUCUGAAGGGUCAACUAAAAAAUUUAGCCCCUUUUCUUUUAAAGAAAUAAGUCAGGUAAGGUGCAGACUAUGAGUAAGAAGAAAUGCAUUUCCUUAAGAAUCGGAUGGAUGGUUGAAACACCAUUUUAAAGGAGAAUUUGAAAGUAAGAAUUUUUUAUUAUAAAAUCCUGAAAUAAUACCAAAAAAAUGUACACAUCGCCG
This 355-nucleotide ribosomal RNA is filed under the name Columbicola guimaraesi. RNAcentral describes it as "partial 12S ribosomal RNA". Lineage: Eukaryota; Metazoa; Arthropoda; Insecta; Psocodea; Philopteridae. The record is from RNAcentral.